UGCUAUACGACCUAGCGGCGGACGGGUGAGUAAUGCUUAGGAAUCUGCCUAUUAGUGGGGGACAACAUUCCGAAAGGAAUGCUAAUACCGCAUACGCCCUACGGGGGAAAGCAGGGGAUCUUCGGACCUUGCGCUAAUAGAUGAGCCUAAGUCAGAUUAGCUAGUUGGUGGGGUAAAGGCCUACCAAGGCGACGAUCUGUAGCGGGUCUGAGAGGAUGAUCCGCCACACUGGGACUGAGACACGGCCCAGACUCCUACGGGAGGCAGCAGUGGGGAAUAUUGGACAAUGGGCGAAAGCCUGAUCCAGCCAUGCCGCGUGUGUGAAGAAGGCCUUUUGGUUGUAAAGCACUUUAAGCGAGGAGGAGGCUACUUGGAUUAAUACUCUAGGAUAGUGGACGUUACUCGCAGAAUAAGCACCGGCUAACUCUGUGCCAGCAGCCGCGGUAAUACAGAGGGUGCGAGCGUUAAUCGGAUUUACUGGGCGUAAAGCGUGCGUAGGCGGCUUUUUAAGUCGGAUGUGAAAUCCCUGAGCUUAACUUAGGAAUUGCAUUCGAUACUGGGAAGCUAGAGUAUGGGAGAGGAUGGUAGAAUUCCAGGUGUAGCGGUGAAAUGCGUAGAGAUCUGGAGGAAUACCGAUGGCGAAGGCAGCCAUCUGGCCUAAUACUGACGCUGAGGUACGAAAGCAUGGGGAGCAAACAGGAUUAGAUACCCUGGUAGUCCAUGCCGUAAACGAUGUCUAC
This 740-nucleotide ribosomal RNA is filed under the name uncultured bacterium. Its description in RNAcentral is "bacterial SSU rRNA". It matches the Rfam family "Bacterial small subunit ribosomal RNA", at positions 81 to 816 of the family's 1533-position model. The record is from RNAcentral.